Molecule: long non-coding RNA, 3057 nt
Organism: Cydia splendana
Lineage: Eukaryota; Metazoa; Arthropoda; Insecta; Lepidoptera; Tortricidae
Exons: 2
Source: RefSeq, a predicted model, not a curated record
CAUUUAAAAUAACACGUGCACUGCGUGGGCUAUCAAAUCCGCUGCAGACUUUUUUUGGUCUGCCUCUAGUGCCUCAAGACGCCCGUCUAGAGUUAAGCUUGCAACUUGCAACACUCAAGACUAUUUUACUCUAAAUUUGAAUUAUAUCUUAGGUAGAUAGUGUCUAUCUAAUAAAAGGCUAAGCCGAUUUUGAUCAUUUUUUUGCAAGUUGAAUUGCUUGUUUGAGUACCACACAUUAUCGUUAAGAUAAUGUUGAAUUUAAUAAGAGUUAACCCGUUGAUCGCUACGCCUGUCGUGUGAGGCGUGUCAUCAUGAACCAUGUCACAAUGCACUAAGAUUCAUAUUGGGUUGUAGCUACGCGCGUCAGUUGACUUCUUUGGUGAUCAAGGGGUUAAAAUUUCAAUUAUGUAUAUAUUUUUGCACAUUAGGCGUUUGGCGCUUUCAUACCUGCUUACCCACACAGUGUGUGGCCAGUGUAUCGUCGUUACGAAUUUUAUACAUUUUUUCUAAUCUACUUACUUAUACAGUUUAUAAAGGUUUAUUUCAUUAGUAAAGUUUAACUACAAUAAUUUUAGUGUUUAAUUUGACCAAUGGGAUGAAAAAAAUAUCAGAUAUAACCUUCGAGCAACACCGGCUUCCGACACGUCGGAAGGGAGGAGCCCAAGCGAUAUCUUACCGUACAAAUCGUUCUGCCAUUUUUGCGGGGGGAAACGUGCACACAGUCGUACUUCUCACUCACUACAUACAAAAUCCAAUCUGUAAUGACGACACAAAUACAUACAAAUUGACACACGUCAAAGGCAAAUCUUGCAUACCUCGAACUCUUUGUGAAUUGAGAAUGUGAAUCGAAUUGUGUACGGAUGAGUCAUAACACGCACCGCGUUAGUUGUGUGCAUGCCCAGUUGGGCAUGUGCUUCGGCAGAGGGGAAAUAGUGCAAAUGCCGACUCCCUUCCCGGUGUUGCUCGAAUAAUAUAACUUAUCUUGGAAAAAAUAUUCUAGUUAAAUUAGCACUAAAUUCUGUUAAACGAAAAUUAACAUCAUAGCUUUUGUUAUAAGGUUUAAAAUACAAUUAUGUAUUACAUUUACAGAUUAACAUUUAUUCUGUUAACGUAAUAUACACCUUAAUUUCAUAGAAAAACAGUUUAAUGUUGUGAUCCUAUGAUUCUAAACAUGCCUCCUUUAGUGAUCUUCAAAUUAUAAAAAUAAUCCCUUUAUUUUUAAAAGGGUAUUUGGUAAUUUAUUACGAUUACCUAGCUCUACGUAUCUCUACUGAAUUUACAUAUACAAUUAUGUAGAUAAAUACAAUUAUACUUAAAUGUUUGCAUACAUUGUUGUAAAUGAAUUGUGAGAAGGGACUCCUGUGGAUUUAUGGAUUAUUUGUGUCGUUUUGUAUUUAAAAAAACCUUGUUUCACUUAGUGUUCUGAACAGUUCUGAACGAGUUCUUGUACUUAUACAAAGGAUUAUUCGCUCAGAACUGUUCAGAACACGGCUCAGAGGUCUCUUUUUGUAUGAAAUAACACGUUUAAUAUUGGUGAGCAGAAAUAACAAACGUCAAGAAAAUGACCAUACAUUUUGGGUCUAGAGGGAAUGACUUAAUUGUAUAUAAAGGUCCGAAUUCAAAAUGACCGCUUUUACAAAAUGGCGGCAAACUUUAGCCGUCUAUAUCAUUGUUGAAUGUUUUCUAUGGUAGCUACUUUCUAUCUGUAGAAACGAUGUUUUAUCCUUGAAUUCCAUUCGUCAAGUUAAUUUUCGAUAGACAAGUUUUCUGUAAGAAAUGCUUUCUAUUUUCUGCAGUUAAUCGUACCUUUAGAAUAUUUUAAUAAACAUGUCCGAUAAGUCUUCUAGAAUAGAAUACCUUUUAUAAUGUAAAUGUUUAUGUAACAAUAACAAUAGAAUUUUGAAAUCUAAAAAAACUAACUGGGUCCUAUGCAAAAAUACUGAGUUAAAAAGACAGACGAACAUAAUGAUUUCCAGAAAAAUUGUAUUUGUUGGUUGGCCAAACUGUAUUACCAUCAUUUUCAUACACGCAAUUUUAUAAUAACUUAAAUACAAUGAAUUUUAAACGAACUUUCGCAUACAGAAAUAGUGUUCUAUAGUUUUAAGUUCAACAGUAGUUUCAAAAAACUGUAGAGUUUUUGGAAAUCACUGUUUUUUUUACGCCGAUGCCGAUGGAAAUAAAUAACGUUCGACUGUGACUACAUAGCGUAAUGACAUGACUUUUUUGAUGACAUGAAGUUUUUUAUUUCUUAUCGGCGUUACCAUUAGUUUUUAGCGUAAAGCGAUUUAUUUACGAAUAUUAUGCUGCCAUUAAUAAUUUUCCCUUUAUUAUCAAUUUUCGUAUGUAGUGUCACAGACAAUUGAACUAAUAGACGUGCAAAGUGAACCAUAAUGCUUAUUAUAAAGAUAGAUGCACUAGAUGGCGCUAUUGUUUGAUUGAUUGGUCACUAGAGUUAGACCAAGGUAACUCUGCAACGACUUUUACAGCGCACACUGUGCAAGGGUUAUUUAUACGUCAUAAUUUCGAAGAGGUUUGACGUUUAAAAUAACACUGGGCUAUCAAAAUCGCUGCAGACUUAUCUUGGUCUAACUCUAGAUUGUAGUUGAACUUUUGUCUAUUAGUUCAAAUGUUUCGUGUUCUUAUAGUCGUUGAGUUGGCAACCCUAGAUACAAUUGAAUGAAACCACACAAACAUAAGGAUUUUAAUGCCCUCGGAUGCCUGUGAUAUGUUAGGGGUUCACCUAUUAUUCAGAGGGAGUAUUAGUAAUUACCUAUCGAUAAGAACUGGCAAUAAAAAAUGUAUUACAAAAAAAUGCUGUUAUACACAAGUCGCUAGGGUUGCACAUCCAAUGUUUAGACAAAUCUACAUUUAUUUCAACUGGCCUCUUAGCUUCUAUGUACAGUGAUAAGUCUUGUAAAUAAAUUAAUCAAAGCAUGACAUUGUAUCAAAUGAAUUUCGAUGCUAGUGCACAAUUAUGUUGGAAAUAGUAUUUAUAAUUAACUCUGUAACAAUAUAGCACAACACUGUGUGCUAAUUUGAAAUAAAUAAAAUCAAAUC